CAUCGCCUUACUCUGCCCUCCACCUUCCCUCUCCCUUCUCUACCUCUUUUCCCCUCUCUCAAGCUUCCACGAUUCACCCCUGGCCACCUGAGAACUCAUCACUCUACAAACUCGGGCAGAUUAAGGCCAAUCAUGGCUGCUGCCACUUCUAGGCUCGGGUAAUCUCGUUUCUGCAACAUCUUUUGUAGCCGAAGACGGUGGCGGUGGCUCCAAUGGCUCCGUUAAUUCUUCAAUUGAAGAUGAUGAAGCUUUGGGAGGUAAAUAUCAACUUCCUCCACCGGAGAUUAAAGAUAUUGUUGAUGCACCACCUCUCCCAGCAUUGUCAUUUUCACCCCAAAAAGACAAAAUACUAUUUCUUAAGAGGAGAUCUUUACCUCCAUUGGCAGAACUAGCUAGACCAGAGGAAAAGCUGGCUGGCAUGCGAAUUGAUGGAAACCAAUAAUGCAAUACUAGAAGCCGAAUGUCAUUCUACAUUGGUAUUGGCAUCCAUCAAUUAUUGCCUGAUGGUACUCUGGGGCCAGAGAAGGAGGUACAUGGCUUCCCAGAUGGUGGUAAGAUCAAUUUUGUUACCUGGUCUGUUGAUGGUAGGCAUUUAGCCUUCAGCAUCCGAGUGGAUGAAGAAGACAACAGUACGCUUAGAUUAUGGGUGGCUGAUGUCGAAACGGGGAAAGCUAGGCCAUUGUUUCAAUCCCCGGAUGUCUAUCUAAAUGCCAUAUUUGAUAAUUAUGUUUGGGUGGAUAACUCUUCUCUAUUAGUUUGCACCAUUCCUUUAUCUCGGGGAGAUCCACCAAAGAAACCUUUGGUUCCCU
Molecule: unclassified non-coding RNA, 809 nt
Filed under: Hevea brasiliensis (rubber tree)
Lineage: Eukaryota; Viridiplantae; Streptophyta; Magnoliopsida; Malpighiales; Euphorbiaceae
Source: RNAcentral